UUGUUUUAUCCUCACUCUCACGCAGCCCACAUAACACCACCACUCAAUACUUCGACCUCUCGUAUUCUGUUUAACGUUUCUGUUGGCAGCUCCUUCCAUUUCUUCAUUUCCAUAUUACUUCUCCUAGCACAAGUCUAAGUGCCUUGCCCCCUUCAUUAAAUCAAGAUGAGUCACAAUUUAAUUCUUUUCACUCACUCUCUCUGUCGUUACCUUCCCCUACCACAUACGCACAACCCUCUCUUCCUCCCAUAACACCACUUCGAGCUCCUUUCUUUUUCCUUCUGAAGGCCGCAAGUUCACCAUUGAUUGGAGCAAGCAACAGCCCUCUCGUGCAUUCCCUCAAGACGGUGGCAGCCACCACCUCCAUUCUCUUCAACCUUUUCUCAUCUCAAUUUUGAGCUUGAGUUAGAGGUUUGAGACGUGCAAGCUUGGGACUCGAUGAAAUUGGAACGCUUGAGGAAAGGCGAAGGAGAAAGAAACAUUGGCUAAGAUAACAGGUGUGACAAUGAGCAUCCCUCUAGUCCUCGCGAUCCACGCUGAUUUCCCGUCCCGUGCUGGCUGGCAUGUUGAUCCAAUUACAGGAUAUUGCUUUUAUGAGGGACUCACGAUUUUGUGGUGUAGGGAUCCAGGAGCAGGGCACAUCGGUUUUCCGGUGACGCUCCCUAUGGUGUUCUCAUUCUUUCUGUCGACCCAUGCUCAGCACGUUGGUCCGUAGAGUCCAUGCAGCUCACAUGUGCAUACCCACAGGUAGGCGAGCCUAUGGAGACCGGAGAGCCUGUCCCAGCCGUACCAGUCACCGUGGUGAGUCCACAGGGAUCUCCUGAUUAGAGGGUUCCGGAGACCCAGGAGUCUAUGGGAUCUCCUCCACCCCGGAGGAACUUGUCUUGCUUUCGGGUCACGACCCUCAAGCGAGUGAGGUCCCCUUGAUUCUCCCGAGAUGCCAGGAUUUACCGUCGCAGAUUCCAGAGAGGCAAGGCGUCCGGAGACAGAGUCAGAGCAGGAUCCUAUACCAGAGCAAGUGUCAGUGCCAGCAGCCGGUGAGGGAGUCAGUGAGGAGGAUCUAGAGGAGGAAGAUCCGAGGGGAUGAAGUCGUAUGGUCCGAGUUUCUAAUGAUGAUGAUGAUUUAUGUUUCUAUUUCUGUAUUUGAUUUUCUGUACCAGACUAUGUGCUUGAGGGCGCUAUGUCCUCUUUAUGUGUUGUCGUCUUAUCUGUAGACUUAUGCGGUGGAUCCGUCCACCAACUAUGCAUGUUAUGUAUGUUCUGUGUGGUUUA
This is a long non-coding RNA of Lotus japonicus, 1272 nucleotides long. RefSeq lists it as uncharacterized. NCBI's taxonomy places the organism in Eukaryota, Viridiplantae, Streptophyta, Magnoliopsida, Fabales, Fabaceae. The record is from RefSeq and is a predicted model, not a curated record. The transcript has 3 exons.